Carassius gibelio (silver crucian carp) is the source of this 1031-nucleotide long non-coding RNA. RefSeq lists it as uncharacterized. The record is from RefSeq and is a predicted model, not a curated record. NCBI's taxonomy places the organism in Eukaryota, Metazoa, Chordata, Actinopteri, Cypriniformes, Cyprinidae. The transcript is spliced from 3 exons.
AUCAGCAGAUGAAAGGAUAGGAACCUGUUGACUUCAAAACUAAGUGUGAAGAUGUGAUUGAGCAGAAGAAUGAAUGCUGUAUCAGAUGCAGGCUCCAUGCGGUUUGAUGCUUCGGGAGGAACAUCUGUCUGCUUGGGGAAGGUGCUGUCUUAUAUCACAUGGCUUCCAUUUCUGGACUUGUCGGUGCCCCCCGUAGCUGUUUUUACAAGCAGACGAGUGAAGGGGUCAGAGGGUCUGCCCUUCAGCACCCGCUAUUGACACCAGUGCAUUAAUCUUCACUCCACAACACCUAAAAAGGAAAAAUGAUCACCUUCAGAUUCAAUGCUAAUAUAAAGAGUUUUCAGUGUUGUUGUUUUUAAAUGCUACAAUGCAAUGCUCUCCAAGCUUUAAAUGCCUAUGAAAUUGCACUGAGGCCCAAAGAUCAGAAAUAUAAGAAAAAGUAAAAGAAAACAAUGAAAGGUGUCUGUUCCUGACAGAGAAUAUUUACCUGUCCAUAAGAAAUGAAGGUGAGAGCCUCUUUGGGUCUGAACUCGGAGGAAGUUUUAGUGGCACUAAAAAGGCUCUGUUAAACACCAUUUUAAAAGUUCCUAAAAGCAUUUUUGCUCUCAGGGGUUGUGCCAUUUUUAACUGUGAUCGAGUUUCAUUUGCAACAUAAGUGCACCUGGAAACGCUAGAGACGCUCCUACACACGGCACGCCGCUUGUAAAAGUGGAGAAGGGAAACCAAUCAGAUUUACUGGUUUCAUUAAGGCGUGAGGUGUGUUUUUGACCUCCAGCUCUGCAGUGAUCUUGACCUGAAGAGGAACAGCAUCAUGUUUUCUGAUCUUUAACUUAAAUAAACAGUAAUAUUUUGACUGGAUGUUCAGGUCUAUCCUGUUUACAUGCAACUGAAGUUUUGUCACGUUGAUCUGAAGUGGAAAGCACGAUUGUAGAGAAACAGUGUGACAUUUAUGGAUGUUCUCUCUUGUAACCAGUUCUCUUUUUUAAUGUGCAUUAAACCGUUGAUCGGUGUGUUGUUAAAUGACCGGUCAG